GCAGUCGAACGAUGAACCGGUUUCGGCCGGGGAUUAGUGGCGAACGGGUGAGUAACACGUGGGCAAUCUGCCCUGCACUCUGGGACAAGAGCCGAAAACGGGGUCUAAUACCGGAUAUGACACAUGAGGGCAUCUUCGUGUGUGGAAAGCUCCGGCGGUGCAGGAUGAGCCCGCGGCCUAUCAGCUAGUUGGUGGGGUAGUGGCCUACCAAGGCUACGUCGGUUAGCCGGCCUGAGAGGGCGACCGGCCACACUGGGACUGAGACACGGCCCAGACUCCUACGGGAGGCAGCAGUGGGGAAUAUUGCACAAUGGGCGAAAGCCUGAUGCAGCGACGCCGCGUGAGGGAUGACGGCCUUCGGGUUGUAAACCUCUUUCAGCAGGGAAGAAGCUUUCGGGUGACGGUACCUGCAGAAGAAGCACCGGCUAACUACGUGCCAGCAGCCGCGGUAAUACGUAGGGUGCGAGCGUUGUCCGGAAUUAUUGGGCGUAAAGAGCUCGUAGGCGGCUUGUCGCGUCGGUUGUGAAAGCCCGGGGCUUAACCCCGGGUCUGCAGUCGAUACGGGCAGGCUAGAGUUUC
RNAcentral lists this ribosomal RNA (579 nucleotides) under actinobacterium CR14. RNAcentral describes it as "bacterial SSU rRNA". It matches the Rfam family "Bacterial small subunit ribosomal RNA", at positions 57 to 650 of the family's 1533-position model. The record is from RNAcentral. Lineage: Bacteria; Bacillati; Actinomycetota; Actinomycetes.